Molecule: ribosomal RNA, 1176 nt
Filed under: Bacillus sp. (in: firmicutes)
Lineage: Bacteria; Bacillati; Bacillota; Bacilli; Caryophanales; Bacillaceae
Description: bacterial SSU rRNA
Rfam family: Bacterial small subunit ribosomal RNA
Source: RNAcentral
GUCGAGCGGACAGAUGGGAGCUUGCUCCCUGAUGUUAGCGGCGGACGGGUGAGUAACACGUGGGUAACCUGCCUGUAAGACUGGGAUAACUCCGGGAAACCGGGGCUAAUACCGGAUGGUUGUCUGAACCGCAUGGUUCAGACAUAAAAGGUGGCUUCGGCUACCACUUACAGAUGGACCCGCGGCGCAUUAGCUAGUUGGUGAGGUAACGGCUCACCAAGGCGACGAUGCGUAGCCGACCUGAGAGGGUGAUCGGCCACACUGGGACUGAGACACGGCCCAGACUCCUACGGGAGGCAGCAGUAGGGAAUCUUCCGCAAUGGACGAAAGUCUGACGGAGCAACGCCGCGUGAGUGAUGAAGGUUUUCGGAUCGUAAAGCUCUGUUGUUAGGGAAGAACAAGUGCCGUUCAAAUAGGGCGGCACCUUGACGGUACCUAACCAGAAAGCCACGGCUAACUACGUGCCAGCAGCCGCGGUAAUACGUAGGUGGCAAGCGUUGUCCGGAAUUAUUGGGCGUAAAGGGCUCGCAGGCGGUUUCUUAAGUCUGAUGUGAAAGCCCCCGGCUCAACCGGGGAGGGUCAUUGGAAACUGGGGAACUUGAGUGCAGAAGAGGAGAGUGGAAUUCCACGUGUAGCGGUGAAAUGCGUAGAGAUGUGGAGGAACACCAGUGGCGAAGGCGACUCUCUGGUCUGUAACUGACGCUGAGGAGCGAAAGCGUGGGGAGCGAACAGGAUUAGAUACCCUGGUAGUCCACGCCGUAAACGAUGAGUGCUAAGUGUUAGGGGGUUUCCGCCCCUUAGUGCUGCAGCUAACGCAUUAAGCACUCCGCCUGGGGAGUACGGUCGCAAGACUGAAACUCAAAGGAAUUGACGGGGGCCCGCACAAGCGGUGGAGCAUGUGGUUUAAUUCGAAGCAACGCGAAGAACCUUACCAGGUCUUGACAUCCUCUGACAAUCCUAGAGAUAGGACGUCCCCUUCGGGGGCAGAGUGACAGGUGGUGCAUGGUUGUCGUCAGCUCGUGUCGUGAGAUGUUGGGUUAAGUCCCGCAACGAGCGCAACCCUUGAUCUUAGUUGCCAGCAUUCAGUUGGGCACUCUAAGGUGACUGCCGGUGACAAACCGGAAGGAAGGUGGGGGAUGACGUCAAAUCAUCAUGGCCCCUUAUGACCUGGGGCUA